UGGGGAAUCUUGCGCAAUGGCCGAGAGGCUGACGCAGCGACGCCGCGUGCGGGAGGAAGCCCUUCGGGGCGUAAACCGCUGUCACCGGGGACGAAUGUCGUGCUUUCGAACAGGGGGCACGGUUGACGGUACCGGGUGAGGAAGCCACGGCUAACUCUGUGCCAGCAGCCGCGGUAAUACAGAGGGGGCAAGCGUUGUUCGGAAUUACUGGGCGUAAAGGGCGCGUAGGCGGCCUGCUAAGUCGAACGUGAAAUCCCUGGGCUCAACCCAGGAACUGCGUCCGAUACUGGUUGGCUUGAAUCCGGGAGAGGGAUGCGGAAUUCCAGGUGUAGCGGUGAAAUGCGUAGAUAUCUGGAGGAACACCGGUGGCGAAGGCGGCAUCCUGGACCGGCAUUGACGCUGAGGCGCGAAAGCCAGGGGAGCAAA
Molecule: ribosomal RNA, 426 nt
Filed under: uncultured bacterium
Lineage: Bacteria
Description: bacterial SSU rRNA
Rfam family: Bacterial small subunit ribosomal RNA
Source: RNAcentral